RNAcentral lists this transfer RNA (92 nucleotides) under Penicillium steckii. It matches the Rfam family "tRNA". Rfam says of the family: Transfer RNA (tRNA) molecules are approximately 80 nucleotides in length. Their secondary structure includes four short double-helical elements and three loops (D, anti-codon, and T loops). Further hydrogen bonds mediate the characteristic L-shaped molecular structure. tRNAs have two regions of fundamental functional importance: the anti-codon, which is responsible for specific mRNA codon recognition, and the 3' end, to which the tRNAs corresponding amino acid is attached (by aminoacyl-tRNA synthetases). tRNAs cope with the degeneracy of the genetic code in two manners: having more than one tRNA (with a specific anti-codon) for a particular amino acid; and 'wobble' base-pairing, i.e. permitting non-standard base-pairing at the 3rd anti-codon position. The record is from Rfam by way of RNAcentral. Lineage: Eukaryota; Fungi; Ascomycota; Eurotiomycetes; Eurotiales; Aspergillaceae.
GCAUCAAUAGUGUAGAGGUAUCAUGUGGGCCUUCCAGAAUAGUAUUCAGUAUUCGUCAGCUCGAGACGGGGGUUCGAUUCCCUCUUGAUGCA